RNAcentral lists this ribosomal RNA (212 nucleotides) under uncultured bacterium. RNAcentral's name for it is "partial 16S ribosomal RNA". It matches the Rfam family "Bacterial small subunit ribosomal RNA", at positions 1289 to 1500 of the family's 1533-position model. The record is from RNAcentral.
CAGUUCGGAUUGAAGGCUGAAAUUCGCCUUCAUGAAGCCGGAAUUGCUAGUAAUGGCAGGUCAGCAUACUGCCGUGAAUACGUUCCCGGGCCUUGUACACACCGCCCGUCACACCAUGGGAGUCGGAUAUGCCCGAAGCCGGUGACCUAACCGCAAGGAAGGAGCCGUCGAAGGUGGAGCCGAUGACUGGGGUGAAGUCGUAACAAGGUAGC